AAAAUACGUUUCUCGCUCAUAUUCUGACACUGCUUGCUUUCCUGUGUAAUCACAUACGGCGAGAAACGACGAGAGCGAGAAUUUAAAAAUUCGCUCGCUAAACAUAGCACGCGAAUUCGAUGACGUCAGAAAUCGCUCGCAGCUCUAAAUUCGCGUCUGCAUGGCUGUAACCAAAGUUUGAUUUUCGUGGCAUAGAUGAGCUCGUUUAACGAUUUUUCGGCUACCGACUGCUCCAUUCUUUUUCUUUUUAUUUUCGGCCCGCUUGAGCUAAAUAGUUUUUUUUUUUGGGCGCCCAGUAUUUCUGGUCGGAGUAUUAUUGUUUUAGUUGACAGAAUGACAGUCCACGACUUGUGCUUGGCAAAUUUAAGUUUUCUAGUGCAAAUUCUCCUCAUAACCAUUUCGAAUUUUCACUUCUCUUACACGAUGAGACUUCUUCCAUCGUUGAUUAAGUGAAAUUAAAAAUGUGCUUAUACUUCGUCUAAGAUUUUGUUCCACGAGUCCCCAAACACAUUUGGAGGUUGAAUUUCGC
Molecule: long non-coding RNA, 529 nt
Filed under: Androctonus crassicauda
Lineage: Eukaryota; Metazoa; Arthropoda; Arachnida; Scorpiones; Buthidae
Source: RNAcentral